RNAcentral lists this ribosomal RNA (539 nucleotides) under uncultured Marinobacterium sp. RNAcentral's name for it is "bacterial SSU rRNA". It matches the Rfam family "Bacterial small subunit ribosomal RNA", at positions 259 to 791 of the family's 1533-position model. Lineage: Bacteria; Pseudomonadati; Pseudomonadota; Gammaproteobacteria; Oceanospirillales; Oceanospirillaceae. The record is from RNAcentral.
AAGAGCUCACCAAGGCGAUGAUCCGUAGCUGGUCUGAGAGGAUGACCAGCCACACUGGGACUGAGACACGGCCCAGACUCCUACGGGAGGCAGCAGUGGGGAAUAUUGGACAAUGGGGGCAACCCUGAUCCAGCCAUGCCGCGUGUGUGAAGAAGGCCUUCGGGUUGUAAAGCACUUUCAGCUGUGAGGAAAGGUGAGUGGUUAAUACCCGCUUACUGUGACGUUAACAGCAGAAGAAGGACCGGCUAACUCCGUGCCAGCAGCCGCGGUAAUACGGAGGGUCCGAGCGUUAAUCGGAAUUACUGGGCGUAAAGCGCGCGUAGGUGGUUCAGUCAGUCAGAUGUGAAAGCCCCGGGCUCAACCUGGGAACGGCACCUGAUACUGCUGACUAGAGUACGGUAGAGGGCAGUGGAAUUUCCGGUGUAGCGGUGAAAUGCGUAGAGAUCGGAAGGAACACCAGUGGCGAAGGCGACUGCCUGGACCGAUACUGACACUGAGGUGCGAAAGCGUGGGUAGCAAACAGGAUUAGAUACCCUGGU